This 254-nucleotide ribosomal RNA is filed under the name uncultured bacterium. Its description in RNAcentral is "partial 16S ribosomal RNA". It matches the Rfam family "Bacterial small subunit ribosomal RNA", at positions 524 to 776 of the family's 1533-position model. The record is from RNAcentral.
GACAGAGGGUGCAAACGUUGCUCGGAAUCACUGGGCGUAAAGAGCUCGUAGGCGGUGUGUCGCGUCGGCCGUGAAAACCUGCAGCUUAACUGUGGGCUUGCGGUCGAUACGGGCAUCACUGGAGUUCGGCAGGGGAGACUGGAAUUCCUGGUGUAGCGGUGAAAUGCGCAGGUAUCAGGAGGAACACCGGUGGCGAAGGCGGGUCUCUGGGCCGAUACUGACGCUGAGGAGCGAAAGCGUGGGGAGCGAACAGG